This 233-nucleotide ribosomal RNA is filed under the name uncultured bacterium. Its description in RNAcentral is "partial 16S ribosomal RNA". It matches the Rfam family "Bacterial small subunit ribosomal RNA", at positions 15 to 240 of the family's 1533-position model. The record is from RNAcentral.
GAUCAUGGCUCAGGAUGAACGCUAGCUACAGGCUUAACACAUGCAAGUCGAGGGGCAGCAUCAUCAAAGCUUGCUUUGAUGGAUGGCGACCGGCNCACGGGUGAGUAACACGUAUCCAACCUGCCGACAACACUGGGAUAGCCUUUCGAAAGAAAGAUUAAUACCGGAUGGCAUAGUUUUCCCGCAUGGGAUAAUUAUUAAAGAAUUUCGGUUGUCGAUGGGGAUGCGUUCCA